GUGUUUGUGUCUGUGUGUGUGCGCGCGUGCGCGCGUGUGUGUGCGCGCGUGUCUGUGUGUCUGUACUGCGCGCGGGCGGGCGCGUGUGUGUGUGCGCGCGGGGGCUCUAGUGCAGGAGCCACUGGAUGUGCGUGCGUGUGUUAUGGGUUUGAUUCCAGAGCAGGUUGCACAUUGGUCCUGGGUGGCUCGCAGGCUCAGGUCGUGCUUGGGCGUCCUCCUCCUAAUCGUUUCCGAAGUAGCAGCAGCAGCAGCAGCAGCACCAGCAGCAGCAGCCGCCGCGGCAGCAUCGCAGCAGCUCAGCGGCACAGCCGGCAGAACUGUGCAGAAGCGAGCACCGUUUGGGGAGUCCGGGGGGCGGCAGUUACAUCCAGCUGUUUAUUGCCUAAGCAUUCUGGGGCUUGCUUCAUCACUUGGCUUUGCUGUGGAGCACUCCUGUAGAGCUUACUGAAUUGCAUAUUGAAGAUCCACCCAUUUGUUCUACUCGGAUAGUCAAGCCCAUCUGAACCCAAGUAUUGCCACGGUGACACUGUGCCCAGUGAUGGAAUUCUGAAUUAUACGAAAGGUUGGUGCUGCUCUGUCCAUCUAUUUCUGCAGAGGGAAGAUAGACAAGGGAAGGCUUUCUCUCUGCAAAUACUCAUGGUGUGACCCAUUUGAGAUACAAAAAGUCUCAAGAGGUUAUAAUUCAGAAAGCUGGAUGAAAUGUACAAGAUUGGGAGGGAGAAGGCCAGCGCAGACUGACGGCAUUCUCUUGAUGGGCAGGCGCCGUGUCUCAGGAAAGAAAGGAAAGCAGGAAGUGCUAUUUUGGCACCUUCUCUGUGCCACACUCUUGUGCAGGUUUUAAAUCUUUUCUACAAUAUCAGUGAAGAGUUAACACCUUAGUUUUGCAGGUG
RNAcentral lists this long non-coding RNA (890 nucleotides) under Bos indicus x Bos taurus (hybrid cattle). Its description in RNAcentral is "lncRNA (ENSBIXG00000005835.1)". The record is from RNAcentral. Lineage: Eukaryota; Metazoa; Chordata; Mammalia; Artiodactyla; Bovidae.